Molecule: long non-coding RNA, 1048 nt
Filed under: Homo sapiens (human)
Lineage: Eukaryota; Metazoa; Chordata; Mammalia; Primates; Hominidae
Description: long non-coding RNA NONHSAT199202.1
Source: RNAcentral
UUUGGAGACUGGGCAUCCACUAUCCCAGGCCAGACCCGAUCGUCUAUGGUCCAGUGGCUUAACCCACAGUCUCCAACCACAACAAGCUCCAACUCAGCUGUGACACCUCUUUCACCCGGGUCGUCCCCUUUCCCCUUUUCUCCUCCUGCUACUGUAGCGGACAAGCCACCUGAAAGCAUCCGCAGUCGGAAGGCUCGAGCCGUGUAUCCGUGUGAAGCAGAACACAGCUCGGAAUUAUCUUUUGAAAUAGGAGCAAUUUUUGAGGAUGUACAAACCUCCAGGGAACCUGGCUGGCUAGAAGGGACUCUGAACGGCAAGAGGGGGCUGAUUCCACAGAACUACGUCAAGCUGCUGUAGCUCCUGGCCUCAGAGCCCCUGCUGACCCUGGCACCCAGGGACCUGCCUGGGGGCAGAGAGCUGUCUUCCUCCUCCGAGGCUCUGGGCUGCACCCACAGGUACCUCCACACUUGGGAGUUACCAUCAUCACAGUCAGCCCUGGGGGUGGGGGGUGGUGGGCAGGGAUGGGACGCACCACACAGAACUGUGAUUGUGGAUCAGGAGGGGAAUGUCAGGAUUCGCAAAAUGGACUUUUCAUUUGUCAAGUAUUGGGACUUGUGAUUUUUAAUUAUCCAGCAUAUAGAAUGAGAGGGAGGGCAGCCUUCUGCCACCUGUGUCGCCUCCACUGGCAGUCACGCCACCAGAGCCACCCUGGCUCCCUCUCCUCCCUGAGCACCUGCUGCUGCGAUUUUAAAGGGAACUGUACUACUCGCAGUGAUAGGUUUGCAGAGUGUGUGCUUGGCUGUGGCAGCCUAGCUUGGAGAAGCUGCUGUUGGUGCAAGGGAGAUGGUCUCAAGUCAGAGGGAAGCAGAGACGCGCGUCUCAAGCCUGCCCUUCCUAGACGGCCACCUGCAGGACCCCACACUCACUGCACUGGCAGCGUGCACUGGCGUAUUUGUAACAGGCUUCUCGGUGCUCCUCACCCGUGUGCUGUUUUCCAAACACCACCUUUUUGCCUCAAGGUCUCUGUAAAUGAAAUAAACUGUAAUUU